UGAGCAAUCUGCCCUUCUCAUCGGAAUAAGCGUUGGAAACGACGUCUAAUGCCGAAUACGACUUCCUUUCGCAUGAUCGGAGGUGGAAAGCUCCGGCGGAGAAGGAUGAGCUCGCGGCCUAUCAGCUAGUUGGUGUGGGUAAUGGCCCACCAAGGCGACGACGGGUAGCCGGCCUGAGAGGGUGACCGGCCACACUGGGACUGAGACACGGCCCAGACUCCGUACGGGAGCAG
RNAcentral lists this ribosomal RNA (233 nucleotides) under uncultured bacterium. Its description in RNAcentral is "partial 16S ribosomal RNA". It matches the Rfam family "Bacterial small subunit ribosomal RNA", at positions 118 to 347 of the family's 1533-position model. The record is from RNAcentral.